CGGCGUGGAUGAGGCAUGCGAGUCGAACGAAGCUAGAGGGCAACCUUUAGUUUAGUGGCGAAAGGGUUAGUAAUACAUGAAUAACUUACCCUUUACCUGGGGAUAACGACUGGAAACAGGCGCUAAUACCGAAUGAGGUACCGAUAAGGAAUUAUAGGAUAUCAAAGUGGGGGACCUAGAAGUAGGCCUUGCGGUAAAGGAUAGGUUCAUGGGAUAUCAGCUAGUUGGUGUGGUAAAGGCGCACCAAGGCUAAGACGUCUAGGCGGAUUGAGAGAUUGACCGCCAACACUGGGACUGA
This 298-nucleotide ribosomal RNA is filed under the name Candidatus Rhabdochlamydia sp. SJ1599. Its description in RNAcentral is "partial 16S ribosomal RNA". It matches the Rfam family "Bacterial small subunit ribosomal RNA", at positions 40 to 322 of the family's 1533-position model. Lineage: Bacteria; Pseudomonadati; Chlamydiota; Chlamydiia; Parachlamydiales; Candidatus Rhabdochlamydiaceae. The record is from RNAcentral.